RNAcentral lists this small RNA (763 nucleotides) under uncultured Actinomycetes bacterium. RNAcentral describes it as "bacterial SSU rRNA". The stretch from base 1 to 472 matches the Rfam family "Bacterial small subunit ribosomal RNA", at positions 1064 to 1533 of the family's 1533-position model. Lineage: Bacteria; Bacillati; Actinomycetota; Actinomycetes. The record is from RNAcentral.
GUCGUGAGAUGUUGGGUUAAGUCCCGCAACGAGCGCAACCCUUGUCCUAUGUUGCCAGCGGGUAAUGCCGGGGACUCGUAGGAGACUGCCGGGGUCAACUCGGAGGAAGGUGGGGACGACGUCAAGUCAUCAUGCCCCUUAUGUCCAGGGCUGCAAACAUGCUACAAUGGCCGGUACAAAGGGCUGCUAGCUCGCGAGAGUAAGCGAAUCCCAUAAAGCCGGUCUCAGUUCGGAUUGGAGUCUGCAACUCGACUCCAUGAAGCCGGAGUUGCUAGUAAUCCCGGAUCAGCACUGCCGGGGUGAAUACGUUCCCGGGCCUUGUACACACCGCCCGUCACACCACGAAAGUCGGCAACACCCGAAGCCGGUGGCCCAACCCUCUGGGAGGGAGCCGUCGAAGGUGGGGUCGGUGAUUGGGGUGAAGUCGUAACAAGGUAGCCGUACCGGAAGGUGCGGCUGGAUCACCUCCUUUCUAAGGAGUUGUCUCUCGUUUCAGACGAGACAGCUACCGAGUUGAUCACUGACGCUCGACCUUGUCCUCUCUUUCGUUUUGAGGGAGCAGCACCGCGUGCCGGCACCGCCGGCAUCGUCUGCUCACUCAGUUGCACGUUGAGAACUGCAGAGCGAGCACGAGCAUCUUUAGUAGUUCUUCCAAGCUACAAAGAGCCAACGGUGGAUGCCUUGGCGUCUCGAACCGAUGAAGGACGUGAGCGACUGCGAAAAGCUACGGGGAGCUGUCUACUAAGCACUGAUCCGUAGAUAU